This 253-nucleotide ribosomal RNA is filed under the name uncultured bacterium. RNAcentral describes it as "partial 16S ribosomal RNA". It matches the Rfam family "Bacterial small subunit ribosomal RNA", at positions 524 to 776 of the family's 1533-position model. The record is from RNAcentral.
UCCGGAGGGGGCGAGCGUUAUUCGGAAUUAUUGGGCGUAAAGGGCGCGUAGGCGGCUGUACAAGUCAAAGGUGAAAUCCCUCGGCUCAACUGAGGAACUGCCUUUGAAACUGUACGGCUUGAGGCCGGGAGGGGGUAGCGGAAUUCCCAAUGUAGCGGUGAAAUGCGUAGAUAUUGGGAGGAACACCAGUGGCGAAGGCGGCUACCUGGACCGGUUCUGACGCUGAUGCGCGAAAGCGUGGGUAGCAAACAGG